Molecule: ribosomal RNA, 1610 nt
Filed under: Phormidium sp. 00477_00001
Lineage: Bacteria; Bacillati; Cyanobacteriota; Cyanophyceae; Oscillatoriales; Oscillatoriaceae
Description: bacterial SSU rRNA
Rfam family: Bacterial small subunit ribosomal RNA (bases 1-1164)
Source: RNAcentral
GGGGAAUUUUCCGCAAUGGGCGAAAGCCUGACGGAGCAAGACCGCGUGAGGGAGGAAGGCUCUUGGGUUGUAAACCUCUUUUGUCAGGGAAGAAGAAAGUGACGGUACCUGAAGAAUCAGCAUCGGCUAACUCCGUGCCAGCAGCCGCGGUAAUACGGAGGAUGCAAGCGUUAUCCGGAAUUAUUGGGCGUAAAGCGUCCGCAGGUGGUCAAUCAAGUCUGCUGUCAAAGAGUGGGGCUUAACCCCAAAGAGGCAGUGGAAACUGAAGGACUAGAGUGCUCAAGGGGUAGAGGGAAUUCUCGGUGUAGCGGUGAAAUGCGUAGAGAUCGGGAAGAACAUCGGUGGCGAAAGCGCUCUACUGGAGAGCAACUGACACUCAGGGACGAAAGCUAGGGGAGCGAAUGGGAUUAGAUACCCCAGUAGUCCUAGCCGUAAACGAUGGAUACUAGGUGUGGCUUGUAUCGACCCGAGCCGUGCCGAAGCUAACGCGUUAAGUAUCCCGCCUGGGGAGUACGCACGCAAGUGUGAAACUCAAAGGAAUUGACGGGGGCCCGCACAAGCGGUGGAGUAUGUGGUUUAAUUCGAUGCAACGCGAAGAACCUUACCAGGGCUUGACAUGUCCGGAAUCUUUCUGAAAGGAGAGAGUGCCUUCGGGAGCCGGAACACAGGUGGUGCAUGGCUGUCGUCAGCUCGUGUCGUGAGAUGUUGGGUUAAGUCCCGCAACGAGCGCAACCCUCGUCCUUAGUUGCCAGCAUUAAGUUGGGCACUUUAGGGAGACUGCCGGUGACAAACCGGAGGAAGGUGGGGAUGACGUCAAGUCAGCAUGCCCCUUACGCCCUGGGCGACACACGUACUACAAUGCUACGGACAAAGGGCAGCAAGCCAGCAAUGGCAAGCCAAUCCCAGAAACCGUGGCUCAGUUCAGAUCGCAGGCUGCAACUCGCCUGCGUGAAGGAGGAAUCGCUAGUAAUUGCAGGUCAGCAUACUGCAGUGAAUCCGUUCCCGGGCCUUGUACACACCGCCCGUCACACCAUGGAAGCUGGCCACGCCCGAAGUCGUUACCCUAACCUUUCGAGGAGGGGGAUGCCGAAGGUAGGGCUGGUGACUGGGGUGAAGUCGUAACAAGGUAGCCGUACCGGAAGGUGUGGCUGGAUCACCUCCUUUUAGGGAGACCUACUUCGAUAAGUACCAAGAACCAAUGGUUCUGGUCAAAUCAGAAGACAUCCCAAGGUCGUACGAGAUUGAGUGUAAAAAAGCUUUCAAACUAGAUUUGGUUCGGGAAAUGGGCUAUUAGCUCAGGUGGUUAGAGCGCACCCCUGAUAAGGGUGAGGUCCCUGGUUCGAGUCCAGGAUGGCCCACCUAACCAAAAGCCAAAUCCCCAAGAUUCAGUUAACUUCAGCACCUUAACUUGUGAAGAAAACAAGCAAGAAUGCUGGAGUCUUACUCCAGAUGUGAACCUUGAAAACUGCAUAGUAAAGAGAAAGAACAAGCAGGUAGAACCGUUGAGAAUAACUACAAGUAGUAGUUAAGCUGAGCAGUUUAUCCAAACAGAAAAAGCGCAAUGUGGUCAAGCUACAAAGAGCUAACGGUGGAUACCUAGGCACACAGAG